AUGGGCGCAAGCCUGACCCAGCAACGCCGCGUGAAGGAUGAAGUUUUUCGGAAUGUAAACUUCGUAAGAAUGGGAAGAAACAAAUGACGGUACCAUUUGUAAGCCCCGGCUAACUACGUGCCAGCAGCCGCGGUAAUACGUAGGGGGCAAGCGUUGUUCGGAUUUACUGGGCGUAAAGGGCGCGUAGGCGGCGUGACAAGUCACUUGUGAAAUCUCCGGGCUUAACUCGGAACGGCCAAGUGAUACUGUCGUGCUAGAGUGCAGGAGGGGCAAUCGGAAUUCUUGGUGUAGCGGUGAAAUGCGUAGAUAUCAAGAGGAACACCUGAGGUGAAGACGGGUUGCUGGGCUGACACUGACGCUGAGGCGCGAAAGCUAGGGGAGCAAACGGGAUUAGAUACCCCGGUAGUCCUAGCCCUAAACGAUGAAUACUUGGUGUCUGGAGUUUUAAUCCUCCGGGUGCCGUCGCUAACGUUUUAAGUAUUCCGCCUGGGGAGUAC
Molecule: ribosomal RNA, 497 nt
Filed under: uncultured bacterium
Lineage: Bacteria
Description: bacterial SSU rRNA
Rfam family: Bacterial small subunit ribosomal RNA
Source: RNAcentral